Molecule: long non-coding RNA, 896 nt
Filed under: Homo sapiens (human)
Lineage: Eukaryota; Metazoa; Chordata; Mammalia; Primates; Hominidae
Description: HSALNT0382375
Source: RNAcentral
CCUCCCAGAGGCCGUUUGUCCAAGUCACGUGAUCGUCGAAUCUGUUGACCUGGCGCCACCGGAAAAAGAAAUUCCCGGGCCCUGGCUUCUUGGCCUGAUGGUGAGGCACCAGAGGUGCUAAAGUGGAGGGCCUCCCAUGGGGUGUUCAGCCUGGGUGUGUAGAAGCACACAGUGUGGUACAGAGGACCCUCUCCAGACAGGUAAGUGGAGGGCGGUUCUCCCUGACCCCACCCCAAUUGUUUGUUCUGGGUGGGGUCCACCGCGCCCCCUGCCAAGGCCUUCUGCAAACACUCCCCAGGGGCUGUUGUGGGCAGCACCUGGGUGGUGCAGUUGGUGUGCCAGAAAAGCUCCCCAGUACUGGGCAGUGGCCCAGGCAGUCAAGCAGACUCCCUCAAGCAGGCCCCACCUACCCCUCGCCUGUUCCCAGCUGCCUCCCACCAACCCUAGAAAUGAUGCUGGGAGCUGACAGAAACUGAACUUAGGAGCACAGGAGGCCAGGAGACCUGGGACAGAGAACAGGAGGUGACCCCUCAUGCUGCUGCUCCCUCUGCUGAAACCCAAACUGCAAACCUCUCCUCUCCCUGCCUUCACCUUGCCCCACGGCUUCCACAGACAGUGCCUCAACCCCGAGGAAUGAAUCCGAAGUUCCAACACCACUGACUUUCCCAGGAACUCAGAGCCAGAGAGGGCCAAGGACCAGCUCGAGGACACACAGCCAGGGCUUCUUCCCUCCGAAACCCCCAAGGACUGGACUUGCAGGGCUGGGACAGAGGUGGGGUGGGGGAAAGCAAUGCCUUGUCAACCCACGUGGGGAGCCCCACUCCCAUCCCCAAGGUGCAUAAAGUUGAGGAACACCCCUGCUCCCACGUCCAUGCUCAUUCAGGGCCCUGCUCCAA